This 253-nucleotide ribosomal RNA is filed under the name uncultured bacterium. RNAcentral's name for it is "partial 16S ribosomal RNA". It matches the Rfam family "Bacterial small subunit ribosomal RNA", at positions 524 to 776 of the family's 1533-position model. The record is from RNAcentral.
UACGGAGGAUGCAAGCGUUAUCCGGAAUUAUUGGGCGUAAAGCGUCCGUAGGUGGCUAAUCAAGUCUGCUGUCAAGGCGUGGAGCUUAACUCCAUAACGGCGGUGGAAACUGAUGAGCUAGAGUGCGAUAGGGGUAGCAGGAAUUCCCAGUGUAGCGGUGAAAUGCGUAGAGAUUGGGAAGAACACCAGCGGCGAAAGCGUGCUACUGGGUCUGCACUGACACUGAGGGACGAAAGCUAGGGGAGCGAAAGGG